UACGUAUGGGGCAAGCGUUGUCCGGAUUUAUUGGGCGUAAAGAGCGUGUAGGCGGCCAGACAGGUCAGCUGUGAAAACUCGAGGCUCAACCUCGAGACGUCGGUUGAAACCGUCUGGCUAGAGUCCGGAAGAGGAGAGUGGAAUUCCCGGUGUAGCGGUGAAAUGCGCAGAUAUCGGGAAGAACACCCGUGGCGAAGGCGGCUCUCUGGGACGGUACUGACGCUGAGACGCGAAAGCGUGGGGAGCGAACAGG
RNAcentral lists this ribosomal RNA (253 nucleotides) under uncultured bacterium. RNAcentral's name for it is "partial 16S ribosomal RNA". It matches the Rfam family "Bacterial small subunit ribosomal RNA", at positions 524 to 776 of the family's 1533-position model. The record is from RNAcentral.